CCCGCGGCCCCGAGCGCGCGCGCGCGCCGGGCCGGCCGCUCCCACGCCCGGCCGGCCUGUCGCGUCACCCAGCAGCCGCCACCGGGAUGCGGGCCGCGUCGGGAGACACCCACCGCGACCCCCGCGGCCCCGCAGUGUGGAGCGGGCUCCUCAGCGGCGGAAACCAGCCGGCCCCGGGGGGGCGUGGCCUCAGCCGGCGGGUCUCGCGGGAACAGCGACCCCUGCAGGGCGGCCGAGGACCCACCACCGGGCGGAGUCGCUGUAGAGGGUCUCGCGGGAACAGCGACCCCUGCAGGGCGGCUGAAGCCCCUUGUCGGGUGGAGCUCCUGGCUGACGCUCUCAGAACAGCGACCCCUGGAGGUCACUAGGGACUAAUCCAGGGUCAGAGCAUCCGCAGAAGUCCUUAUAGGAACCGGAGCCUUCUGGGCUGGGCUGCGGUGCACCCCCACCCUGGUUCUCCCAGGGAGCCUCAGUUUCUUUCUUUUUUGAAGAUGAGUACCUGAAGGUACAGCUCCAACAGCUUGCUUAGCACCUGCAGGUCACCAGCACAGUGAACACAUCGUGACUUUGACUCAUCACACCAGAGACUUUUGCCAAGUUUUCUUAUAGUAUGGCUCUGUAUGUACGCAGAGGUAGAUCAAGAUAAUGUUUAAAAAGUUUUUGAAAUCUUGCUGUAACACAAAAAAGUCUUAUAAUAAUAAAAAAAAAUCCAGAGCCAGAUAUUGGAGUGAAAGCUGAAAGGUCAGAGAAGCAGAACAGCCAGCCACUAGCUUACCUCUAUGAAAUCCUCAGCCUCAAGAGAGUGAGUUCCUGUUACCUCAUGCCUUGUAUACCUUUCUGUGUUCUGCCAUAUUACUUCUUGGGAUUAAAGCUUACCUCUUCCCUUGUCGAGGACCUUGCCAGGGGCGGUCCAGGUAAGGUGAAGAUGAUCUCCGUUAAAUUCGGCUUCCAGAUCUGUGAUUCUACUGGGUGGGAACACAGGAGGAGCGUGGUCACCACCAGGAGGCGCUCCAGACACAGUAAAGGACCCUCCAGAGGUUAGCCUGCUGAAGUCUUCCACAGGAGCUUCUGCUUCUUGCAUUUCAGGUCUAGUUUCUAUAGUGGCUGUGACAUUGGCUCCCAGAACAGGCAGAAACCCUUGGCUGACUCGUGCAUAAACAAUCAUCGGGCUAGUGUACCGUGCUGUGUUUUGACUCAUGUGAGCAGUUACGAUUACUGGGGGUGUGGUAGGACUUCUUGCUCGAGUGGUCACCGUCACUGCUAGCGACUGAGGUUCGGCAUCCUUAUUGAAGAGGCUGAUGGAUUAAUGAAACAUAGUGAAAAGACUUACUUCUGCGGUGCCUGGUAUUUGAAGUCGAGCAGACUGCAUAUUUAAUUCAUCAUCUUUGAAAUCUGAGGUUGUGUAUUUUUUU
Peromyscus californicus insignis is the source of this 1412-nucleotide long non-coding RNA. RefSeq lists it as uncharacterized. Lineage: Eukaryota; Metazoa; Chordata; Mammalia; Rodentia; Cricetidae. The record is from RefSeq and is a predicted model, not a curated record. The transcript is spliced from 6 exons.